This 487-nucleotide ribosomal RNA is filed under the name uncultured bacterium. RNAcentral describes it as "SSU rRNA". It matches the Rfam family "Bacterial small subunit ribosomal RNA", at positions 26 to 524 of the family's 1533-position model. The record is from RNAcentral.
AGGACGAACGCUGGCGGCGUGCUUAACACAUGCAAGUCGAACGGUGACGGUCAAGCUUGCUUGAUCUGAUCAGUGGCGAACGGGUGAGUAACACGUGAGUAACCUGCCCCAGACUCUGGGAUAACUUCGGGAAACCGUAGCUAAUACCGGAUAUGACACCAACUCGCAUGGGUAUGGUGUGGAAAGUUUUUCGGUCUGGGAUGGACUCGCGGCCUAUCAGCUUGUUGGUGAGGUAGUGGCUCACCAAGGCGACGACGGGUAGCCGGCCUGAGAGGGCGAUCGGCCACACUGGGACUGAGACACGGCCCAGACUCCUACGGGAGGCAGCAGUGGGGAAUAUUGCACAAUGGGCGGAAGCCUGAUGCAGCGACGCCGCGUGAGGGAUGAAGGCCUUCGGGUUGUAAACCUCUUUCAGCAGGGAAGAAGCGAAAGUGACGGUACCUGCAGAAGAAGCACCGGCUAACUACGUGCCAGCAGCCGCGGUAAU